CCGGGAUCACUUACGCCGAGCACCGAGACGAGUCCUAUGAGGACGAAGUGACUGACACCACGCUUCCAGGAAAAGCCACUAAGCUUCAGCUUAAGAAAAACCGUACCGCAAACCGACACAGGUAGGCAGGGUGAGAAUCCCAAGGCGCUUGAGAGAACUCGGGUGAAGGAACUAGGCAAAAUGGCACCGUAACUUCGGGAGAAGGUGCGCCCUUUGGUGUGGUCACGUGCGUGACUGAGCAUCGAAGGGUCGCAGUAACCUGGCCGCUGCGACUGUUUAUCAAAAACACAGCACUCUGCAAACACGAAAGUGGACGUAUAGGGUGUGACGCCUGCCCGGUGCUGGAAGGUUAAUUGAUGGGGUCAGCCGCAAGGCGAAGCUCUUGAUCGAAGCCCCAGUAAACGGCGGCCGUAACUAUAACGGUCCUAAGGUAGCGAAAUUCCUUGUCGGGUAAGUUCCGACCUGCACGAAUGGCGUAACGACAGCGGCGCUGUCUCCACCCGAGACUCAGUGAAAUUGAAAUCGCUGUGAAGAUGCAGCGUUCCCGCGGCAAGACGGAAAGACCCCGUGAACCUUUACUAUAGCUUUACACUGAACGUUGAGUUCUUCUGUGUAGGAUAGGUGGGAGGCUAUGAAACCAGGACGCUAGUUCUGGUGGAGCCAUCCUUGAAAUACCACCCUGAAGUGCUUGACGUUCUAACCUAGGCCCGUAAUCCGGGUCAGGGACCGUGUAUGGUGGGUAGUUUGACUGGGGCGGUCUCCUCCCAAAGAGUAACGGAGGAGCACGAAGGUACGCUCAGCGCGGUCGGACAUCGCGCACUGUGUGCAAAGGCAUAAGCGUGCUUGACUGCGAGAUCGACGGAUCAAGCAGGUACGAAAGUAGGUCUUAGUGAUCCGGUGGUUCUGUAUGGAAGGGCCAUCGCUCAACGGAUAAAAGGUACUCCGGGGAUAACAGGCUGAUACCGCCCAAGAGUUCAUAUCGACGGCGGUGUUUGGCACCUCGAUGUCGGCUCAUCACAUCCUGGGGCUGUAGCCGGUCCCAAGGGUAUGGCUGUUCGCCAUUUAAAGUGGUACGCGAGCUGGGUUCAGAACGUCGUGAGACAGUUCGGUCCCUAUCUGUCGUGGGCGUUGGAGAUUUGAGGGGGGCUGCUCCUAGUACGAGAGGACCGGAGUGGACGUUCCGCUGGUGUUCGGGUUGUCAUGCCCAUGGCAUUGCCCGGUAGCUACGAACGGAAGUGAUAACCGCUGAAAGCAUCUAAGCGGGAAGCACGCCCCAAGAUGAGAUCUCCCGAGAGCUUGACUCUCCUAAAGGCACCAUCAAGACUAGGUGGUUGAUAGGUCAGGUGUGGAAGCGCAGCAAUGCGUUGAGCUAACUGAUACUAAUGAGCCGUGAGGCUUGACCG
This 1403-nucleotide ribosomal RNA is filed under the name metagenome. Its description in RNAcentral is "bacterial LSU rRNA". It matches the Rfam family "Bacterial large subunit ribosomal RNA", at positions 1542 to 2925 of the family's 2925-position model. The record is from RNAcentral.